GGUUAAGCGACUAAGCGUACACGGUGGAUGCCCUGGCAGUCAGAGGCGAUGAAGGACGUGCUAAUCUGCGAUAAGCGUCGGUAAGGUGAUAUGAACCGUUAUAACCGGCGAUUUCCGAAUGGGGAAACCCAGUGUGUUUCGACACACUAUCAUUAACUGAAUCCAUAGGUUAAUGAGGCGAACCGGGGGAACUGAAACAUCUAAGUACCCCGAGGAAAAGAAAUCAACCGAGAUUCCCCCAGUAGCGGCGAGCGAACGGGAGCAGCCCAGAGCCUGAAUCAGUAUGUGUGUUAGUGGAAGCGUCUGGAAAGGCGCGCGAUACAGGGUGACAGCCCCGUACACAAAAAUGCACAUGCUGUGAGCUCGAUGAGUAGGGCGGGACACGUGGUAUCCUGUCUGAAUAUGGGGGGACCAUCCUCCAAGGCUAAAUACUCCUGACUGACCGAUAGUGAACCAGUACCGUGAGGGAAAGGCGAAAAGAACCCCGGCGAGGGGAGUGAAAAAGAACCUGAAACCGUGUACGUACAAGCAGUGGGAGCACGCUUAGGCGUGUGACUGCGUACCUUUUGUAUAAUGGGUCAGCGACUUAUAUUCUGUAGCAAGGUUAACCGAAUAGGGGAGCCGAAGGGAAACCGAGUCUUAACUGGGCGUUAAGUUGCAGGGUAUAGACCCGAAACCCGGUGAUCUAGCCAUGGGCAGGUUGAAGGUUGGGUAACACUAACUGGAGGACCGAACCGACUAAUGUUGAAAAAUUAGCGGAUGACUUGUGGCUGGGGGUGAAAGGCCAAUCAAACCGGGAGAUAGCUGGUUCUCCCCGAAAGCUAUUUAGGUAGCGCCUCGUGAAUUCAUCUCCGGGGGUAGAGCACUGUUUCGGCAAGGGGGUCAUCCCGACUUACCAACCCGAUGCAAACUGCGAAUACCGGAGAAUGUUAUCACGGGAGACACACGGCGGGUGCUAACGUCCGUCGUGAAGAGGGAAACAACCCAGACCGCCAGCUAAGGUCCCAAAGUCAUGGUUAAGUGGGAAACGAUGUGGGAAGGCCCAGACAGCCAGGAUGUUGGCUUAGAAGCAGCCAUCAUUUAAAGAAAGCGUAAUAGCUCACUGGUCGAGUCGGCCUGCGCGGAAGAUGUAACGGGGCUAAACCAUGCACCGAAGCUGCGGCAGCGACGCUUAUGCGUUGUUGGGUAGGGGAGCGUUCUGUAAGCCUGCGAAGGUGUGCUGUGAGGCAUGCUGGAGGUAUCAGAAGUGCGAAUGCUGACAUAAGUAACGAUAAAGCGGGUGAAAAGCCCGCUCGCCGGAAGACCAAGGGUUCCUGUCCAACGUUAAUCGGGGCAGGGUAAGUCGACCCCUAAGGCGAGGCCGAAAGGCGUAGUCGAUGGGAAACAGGUUAAUAUUCCUGUACUUGGUGUUACUGCGAAGGGGGGACGGAGAAGGCUAUGUUGGCCGGGCGACGGUUGUCCCGGUUUAAGCGUGUAGGCUGGUUUUCCAGGCAAAUCCGGAAAAUCAAGGCUGAGGCGUGAUGACGAGGCACUACGGUGCUGAAGCAACAAAUGCCCUGCUUCCAGGAAAAGCCUCUAAGCAUCAGGUAACAUCAAAUCGUACCCCAAACCGACACAGGUGGUCAGGUAGAGAAUACCAAGGCGCUUGAGAGAACUCGGGUGAAGGAACUAGGCAAAAUGGUGCCGUAACUUCGGGAGAAGGCACGCUGAUAUGUAGGUGAAGUCCCUCGCGGAUGGAGCUGAAAUCAGUCGAAGAUACCAGCUGGCUGCAACUGUUUAUUAAAAACACAGCACUGUGCAAACACGAAAGUGGACGUAUACGGUGUGACGCCUGCCCGGUGCCGGAAGGUUAAUUGAUGGGGUCAGCGCAAGCGAAGCUCUUGAUCGAAGCCCCGGUAAACGGCGGCCGUAACUAUAACGGUCCUAAGGUAGCGAAAUUCCUUGUCGGGUAAGUUCCGACCUGCACGAAUGGCGUAAUGAUGGCCAGGCUGUCUCCACCCGAGACUCAGUGAAAUUGAACUCGCUGUGAAGAUGCAGUGUACCCGCGGCAAGACGGAAAGACCCCGUGAACCUUUACUAUAGCUUGACACUGAACAUUGAGCCUUGAUGUGUAGGAUAGGUGGGAGGCUUUGAAGUGUGGACGCCAGUCUGCAUGGAGCCGACCUUGAAAUACCACCCUUUAAUGUUUGAUGUUCUAACGUUGACCCGUAAUCCGGGUUGCGGACAGUGUCUGGUGGGUAGUUUGACUGGGGCGGUCUCCUCCUAAAGAGUAACGGAGGAGCACGAAGGUUGGCUAAUCCUGGUCGGACAUCAGGAGGUUAGUGCAAUGGCAUAAGCCAGCUUGACUGCGAGCGUGACGGCGCGAGCAGGUGCGAAAGCAGGUCAUAGUGAUCCGGUGGUUCUGAAUGGAAGGGCCAUCGCUCAACGGAUAAAAGGUACUCCGGGGAUAACAGGCUGAUACCGCCCAAGAGUUCAUAUCGACGGCGGUGUUUGGCACCUCGAUGUCGGCUCAUCACAUCCUGGGGCUGAAGUAGGUCCCAAGGGUAUGGCUGUUCGCCAUUUAAAGUGGUACGCGAGCUGGGUUUAGAACGUCGUGAGACAGUUCGGUCCCUAUCUGCCGUGGGCGCUGGAGAACUGAGGGGGGCUGCUCCUAGUACGAGAGGACCGGAGUGGACGCAUCACUGGUGUUCGGGUUGUCAUGCCAAUGGCACUGCCCGGUAGCUAAAUGCGGAAGAGAUAAGUGCUGAAAGCAUCUCUAAGCACGAAACUUGCCCCGAGAUGAGUUCUCCCUGACUCCUUGAGAGUCCUGAAGGAACGUUGAAGACGACGACGUUGAUAGGCCGGGUGUGUAAGCGCAGCGAUGCGUUGAGCUAACCGGUACUAAUGAACCGUGAGGCUUAACCUU
This 2905-nucleotide ribosomal RNA is filed under the name Escherichia coli. RNAcentral describes it as "23S ribosomal RNA". It matches the Rfam family "Bacterial large subunit ribosomal RNA". Lineage: Bacteria; Pseudomonadati; Pseudomonadota; Gammaproteobacteria; Enterobacterales; Enterobacteriaceae. The record is from RNAcentral.